Small nuclear RNA from Vulpes vulpes (red fox), 106 nucleotides. The record is from Ensembl. NCBI's taxonomy places the organism in Eukaryota, Metazoa, Chordata, Mammalia, Carnivora, Canidae.
GUGCUUGCUUUGGCAGCACAUAUACUAAAAUUGGAACGAACAGAGAAGAUUAGCAUGGCCCCUGCACAAGGAUGACAUGCAAAUUCAUGAAGCGUUCUGUAUUUUU